GUGUGUGUAUACAAACACACGCACACCACACACAAACCGGAUUUGAUGGGGGUGGGUGGGGGGAACAGGCAAAGGGUGGAGAAUUUGAAAACAACCAAAUGACUCCAAAGGAAGUAGGGGAGAGGUUGACGUACAGACCCAUCCCAGUUAUUCCACGCCUUCCCUGUGACUCAGAUCCCCUUUAUCGUGCUGCCACCACCCAAAGGCAAAAGGGGUUUUCCUCUGCCCAUGCAUGAUCUCUUCUACCUUCUUGGCAUCUCUGCCCGUGCUUCCUCCCCACCUGUCAUCUUAGUCUCCAGCAGUUCCCCUCUUCCCCUCCACCAUGCCCACAGAGUGGUACUCACUUGAAGUGGCACACAGUCUAAUGGCGCAGGGCUUCUGGUGAGAGUGAGGUGGAUGCAUCCCUGCCUCUUGGCCAGUGAGGAUGCCUGACACCUGUCAAUGACUAAGACCUGAUGCAGCCUCCCUUUACUCAGCCCAGACAGACAGGAGGCAUGGGUCUGCCUGAUGAGGCUCUUCUUCCUGGCCUCAUUGUCACCACUCUCGCCUCCCAGCCCCUACUCUCAGGGAUGGGCAGAUGUUAAGGAUAUUCUCCCCACUUACCCUACUGCUCCCCUCUGGGCCUGGAGAUUAGGUGCCUAUUUUUCAGUCUGAGAUCUUAGUCCAGACAUACACGCAUCAUACAGCAAGGGCUCCAGGAGUGUAAGAAAAAUGAGUCCCAGGCUGGCUUGUAGAGUCUCAGAUGGACUCGAGGCAGAAGUGGAGAGGGCUGGAGGCAGAAGUGGAGAGGGCUGGAGCUCUAGUCCCUCUCCCUUGCAUUGACUCUGCUGCCU
Molecule: long non-coding RNA, 833 nt
Filed under: Homo sapiens (human)
Lineage: Eukaryota; Metazoa; Chordata; Mammalia; Primates; Hominidae
Description: HSALNT0060855
Source: RNAcentral